Molecule: long non-coding RNA, 2141 nt
Organism: Frieseomelitta varia
Lineage: Eukaryota; Metazoa; Arthropoda; Insecta; Hymenoptera; Apidae
Exons: 4
Source: RefSeq, a predicted model, not a curated record
CUAUUGUGGUAUAUAUCCAGUUAGGGAAUGCGCGUUUAAUUUCCUAAAACGUUUUUCAAAUUUCAGAAGUAGAGAUAUAAAAUUCAUAAUUUCUAAAUUUCAGUGUUACAUUACAUUUGUAUCGCUAUUGUUCUCGAAUAAUGUUUUUUCAAUAUGUACGUACGUAUGUUCCGCAGAAAACAUCUUAACCUUUCGUCAGUUCCACGUGCUAUAGUUUACAGAAAGAGUUUGUGUUUAUCAUUAAUUAGUUAUUAAUCUUUCAUUAACAUAUGAAACUCUUUCAUUAAAAUAUGAAAACUCAAUUUCUUAUAUUAAAAUCUAUGAACAGAAGACGUAGAAAGUGGAUGCAGCGAAGUGAAGUUAUAAUUGACUGUAGAAAUGGUCAGCCAACAUUGAAUUAUGGAUAAGUUAAUGUUGAUGUUGCUUAUGGGUUGAGGAAGACAAUCGAGGAAUAAACGAUCCUACCUGAUAUACAGGUAGGAUUCAGAGAAGGGGACAAUAGACAACUCAUACAUUCUGCAACAUGUGGUUGAGAAGGAGUUGGAAAAGAAAGGAGGAAAGAUAGUGAUUUUCUUCAUUGACUUAAAAGCAACCUUUGAUAGUAACAAUAGGAGAUUGCUAUGAAAAAUGAUGGAGAAGAAAGGAAUAGAGAAAGGGCUGAUAGAACGGAUAAAAGAAAUCUACGAGAAAACGAGCAAUGUAGUAAGAGGUGGAGAAGCCCUGUCGGAAGAAUUUUGGACAAGGGAGGGGGUGCGGCAAGGAUGCGUGCUAAGUCCAACACUAUUUACCUUAUUUCUAGCAGAUAUAGAGGAAGAGCUUGCGAGGGAACAGUGUGGUGAGAUAAUGGUAGAUAGGUUAAGAUUCCGGUCUCUGUCAUAUGCAUGGCGGUGGUCACCAGCACAAAAUAGAAAAUACAACAACUUACAAAGAGGUUGGAAAAGUAUCUGGAUAGUAAAAAACUUAUUCUCUAACGUGGAGAAAUCUAAAAUUAUGAUUUCAGGGAGGAUAUUCAGGAAGGAGAAAAGAGAGAAAGAAAAUGGCUUUGGAAAUAGAAAGGCAAAGAAAUUGAAGUGGUCAGGGCGUAAUACCUGGGCGUAAAAUUCCAGAGAAAUGGGAAAUGGAGUAAGCAUAUAAAGGAGAGGGUAAAAAAUACACAAAUAGUCAUACAGCAGGUCUACGGAUGGAAGGUUUUGGCUGAAGAUAAAGGCAAUACAGACUAUAUGUGAAAUGGUGCCUUGGGCUGGAAAGAAGUACGCCAAAUUACAUAGUUCUUGAGGAAGUAAAAAAGGAUAAACUAAGGAUUUCAACAGGUCUCAUACGACAUUUCAAGAGCAAUGUCGUAUGAGACCUUGAGAUGGACGAAUGGAAAGUGGACAGCAAAAGAAUGUCUAAAGGAAAAAGAAGAAGGAAGAAUGAAAAUAAGAAGUGAGAGGGAGAAAGUCGUUUUACUAAAGCUGCGGAUAUAGUCUAAUAGGUAAGACUGAUAGGAAAUGGCAAUAUAAUAGAGGCAAUUAGACAAAGGAGUAGAGAGGUACAGGGGCAAUUGCAAUACAACAAAAUCCAAGAGUCUAGCUAUAAUCGUAGGUAUAAAUAUAUUAGGAUUAGUGAUUGGCCAGAUUACUUAAAUAAGAUAAGGGUAGGAAUUCAUAGCGAGAGCCAGGUGCGGAAAUUUGAAGGAAGGUAACAGGAUGAAAGAGGAGAGUAGGAGAUGUAUAUUGUGUGAAAGAGGGCACACUGAAGCAUCUGGUAAAGGAUUGUAAAGUGUUGAGCUGAGUGAGGCUGAUAUAGUGUCAGGGAAGGCAAAUAGCGACAUUGUAAGAUGGUUAGCGGAAUUAGAGAAGAAGAGAAGGGAAAAGAGAGCGAAUGGAAGUAAUGAAAAAGGCGGCGAAUGGGAGAACGAUAUGGAAGAAUGAGAUUAAGAAUAUAGUGUAAAGUUCUAUUUCAUGGCCGAGAAUGGUCGAAAUAAAUAAAUAAUAUUCUACUAAAUUGACAUUAUUGUAACAUCUUUUAAAUGUUUUAAAUGUUUAGAGAAAUAAACCGCACUUUUUUAAAGAUUUUCUAAAAUCAUCUUUUUUUUAAAGAACAUUUUUAUUUAAUUCAGAUAGACUUAAAAUAAUUAAGGAGAGUAAGAUUUCUUUAAG